Molecule: ribosomal RNA, 404 nt
Filed under: bacterium
Lineage: Bacteria
Also listed under: 1 other name
Description: bacterial SSU rRNA
Rfam family: Bacterial small subunit ribosomal RNA
Source: RNAcentral
GUGGGGAAUAUUGCACAAUGGGCGAAAGCCUGAUGCAGCAACGCCGCGUGAGCGAUGAAGGCCUUCGGGUCGUAAAGCUCUGUCCUCAAGGAAGAUAAUGACGGUACUUGAGGAGGAAGCCCCGGCUAACUACGUGCCAGCAGCCGCGGUAAUACGUAGGGGGCUAGCGUUAUCCGGAAUUACUGGGCGUAAAGGGUGCGUAGGUGGUUUCUUAAGUCAGAGGUGAAAGGCUACGGCUCAACCGUAGUAAGCCUUUGAAACUGAGAAACUUGAGUGCAGGAGAGGAGAGUAGAAUUCCUAGUGUAGCGGUGAAAUGCGUAGAUAUUAGGAGGAAUACCAGUUGCGAAGGCGGCUCUCUGGACUGUAACUGACACUGAGGCACGAAAGCGUGGGGAGCAAACAGG